Molecule: ribosomal RNA, 138 nt
Filed under: uncultured eukaryote
Lineage: Eukaryota
Description: partial 18S ribosomal RNA
Rfam family: Eukaryotic small subunit ribosomal RNA
Source: RNAcentral
UGGUGGAGUGAUUUUGUCUGGUUAAUUCCGAUAACGAACGAGACUCUAGCCUGCUAAAUAGUACGCACGUAUUUCAUCGCGUGCCGUACUUCUUAGAGGGAUAGGCUACUUUUAGUGGCAAGAAACUGAGCAAUAACA